This 3971-nucleotide long non-coding RNA is filed under the name Macaca fascicularis (crab-eating macaque). Its description in RNAcentral is "lncRNA (ENSMFAG00000058630.1)". The record is from RNAcentral. Lineage: Eukaryota; Metazoa; Chordata; Mammalia; Primates; Cercopithecidae.
CACCUCUCCCUGUAACCCCUCCCUAAUUCCUCUCCAUUAAUAAUGAGCUGAAUGAUUCAGCAGAUCCAGGAAGCAGAGGUGGGAUGAAUAGACACGGUUAUCCAUAAAGUAUCUCAUACAUCUACAGACUAAACCCAUCUCACCCCCUUGCUUUGCUUUUCUCUUUUCUUUUCUUUUUCCUCAUCUCCUCUCCAGUGCCCUCCCCUCCCCUCCCCUCUCCUCCUCUCUCUUCUCCUGUCCUAUCUCCUUUCCUUUUUUUUGAGACACCUGGGUGACAGAGCAAGACUCCAUCUCAAAAAAAAAAAAAAGGAAGAAGAAGAAGGAAGUGGCCAGUGAUGCUGGAGGUAAUAAGUGAGUAAUGAAGGAUAGAACCCCUGUGCUUGGGGUCUCAGCCUUGGAUAGACUGCUAGCCUUGACCUACCUAUGCGUGCUUCUCACCAUGAGCAGAGAUCUGAACGUUUUGGUUCCCCAGUAGUCAGUCCAGGCCUGUGUUUUGACAACAGAGGUUAUCUGACAGCUUGGUCAGGAAUUCAUUGUUUCUUUUAUAUUUUACUUAUAUUCUUCCCACCUGCUUCCAUAUCGCUACCACGAGGGAUUUAGGAAGACCAGACUCUCCCAUUGUCAUCUGUCACCUCCUCAUACCACUUCUCCCAACCAGUCACAGAGCCAGGGAACCCCAAUUUCUGUCACUGUCCCUUACUUGUCACCUUAUGCCUCAUUUGCCCAUUCUCUCCGAAUGACUUAGGCAGUAAAUUCCCCAGGGCGGUCACAAUCUGCAUGAUCAUGGGAGACCCUGAGUGCAGUAUGUUACUCCAUAAAUAAUUCACUGUUCUCAUGAUGAAAGCAAGGAGAUCCGAGUAACUGGAGAGGGAAGGCAGAGGGGUGAUUGAAAACACACAUGUGUGCACACACCAGGAUGGGUCUUCUCAGUGGCUUUGUUACAUGGUUUUCUGUACUUGACUGCUCUGGAAGCUGUAAAUAGGACUGUGACCAACAUGGUCCCUGGAUGUUGGGGCAGGGGCCCGGCUGCAGAGAACUUGUUCCUUCAAGGGAACUGUGGGUUCUGUCCAAGGCAGAGCCUAGGAGCUGCUAUGACUGCAGCAGUAGGAAUGUAAGGAUGAGAAGGAUGUGAGGAUGCAAACACGUCCAAGGGCAAGGAGUCUGUGUGUGAGAACCUUUCUUUGGCAUCUCAGAUGCAUCUGCUUUCCCCUCCUUGGCAUCUCCUGGAUGAAGGGAGGUCAAGGAAUACUAUUUUGAGGUACUUAGAGAGGGACAGGAGGCUGCUGGAUAUACAAGCCUGUUUGUGGGAAGAUGAAAGGAAAAAAGGCCUCAUCAAGGCUGUGCUAAACCCAGAUGCUGUUCUUUGACCUUCACUCCAGUUGCUGCAUCACUCUCGGGUGUUUUGUCUUUGCCAAAACCACAUAGGGAGGAAGUUAUUAAGACAAAGGGGGUGACUGCAGAGUCAAUUUCUAUUCCUAGCCAGUGGUUGACCCUGGCAAGUAACCUUGAGUAGGUCAUUAACCCCUCCCUAGGGUGAUUAUAAUGGAUUCCAACCUAUGUCAGGAAAGUCCUGUGAAAAUUGAUAAGUUGAGACUUUUAAGUGCCUUGAGAUCUUAGAAGAGAUAAACAAACAAUAUCCCUGUGUUUUGUGAGCGUGUUAUGGGCUGCCCUUGAAAUCUGAUUCUCCAUACACUGGCCAUGCUCUGUUCUUUGCUUGGUGACCAGUUGUAGCAAAAAAAAAUUUAUUGGUAGGAGUAGCAAUAAAAACAGCUAACAUCUAUUCAACUGUUACUGUGUGUUGGGCACUGUAGUUUAGUGCUCACAGCAACAUUCUAAGGUACAAAUGAUGAAACAGAGAGGUUAAGUAACUUCCCAAAGUUGCAGUUAAUAAGCCAGAGCCAGUAUCUGCACUCUGGCCUCCAGAGUGCAGGCUCUGCUCUUACCCAUGAUAAGAAGCAGAUAAGAACCACAUUUAGGCCCCAUGUGGUGGCUCAUGCCUGUAAUCCCAGCACUUUGGGAGGCUGAGGAGGGCAGAUCACCUGAGGUCAGGAGUUCAAGACCAGCCUGACCAACAUGGUGAAACCUUGUCUCUACUAAAAAUACAAAAUUAGCUGAGCGUGGUGGUGCAUGCCUGUAAUCUCAGCUACUCGAGAGGCUGAGGCAGGAGAAUCACUUGAACCUGGGAGGUGGAGGUUGCAGUGAGCCAAAAUUGUGCCACUGCACUCCAGCCUGGGUGACAGAGCUCGACUCUGUCUCAAAAUAAAUAAAUAAACAAAUAUUUUAAAAAGCAUAUUUAAUAAUCAUGUAAUUUGUCAUUAGUGAGCACUUGUUGUAUGAUCUGCCUCAAGUUGGCGUAGUAUGAGUGACAUGGAACUAUAUAAACUAACAGAAGACAGACGGGAGUUGAGUGCUAAAUUGGUGAUACCAAAGUUCUUUUGAAAACCUAAGAAAAAGAGAUCCACUAUGGGCUGGACUUUUGGGGAAAAUGUUGGAGAAAGUGAGGUGUGAGCACCCUUGUUUUUUUGCCUUCUAAGCAGAAUAUUUAGACUCUCUGGGACUACAAUUGUAGAAAGAUGCUAAUUUGUAUUGCUUAUGAGAAAAAGGGCAUGGAGGAGGGGCUAUUUCAUUGUUAAUCUGGAAUCUGCUGCAUACAUUCGUAGUCCUGUGCAGAUUCACAAUGCACUUUGGCUCUUGGAGGCUCAGCAACAUUGUGUGAUAAAGAAAUCUGCUUUUUUUUGGCUGGGUGUGGUGGCUCACGCCUGUAAUCCCAGCACUUCGGGAGGCCAAGGCAGGUGCAUCACGAGGUCAGGAGAUCGAAACCAUCCUGGCUAAAGUGGUGAAACACCGUCUCUACUAAAAAUACAAAAAAUUAGCCAGGCAUGGUGGCGGGUGCCUGUACUCCCAGCUACUUGGGAGGCUGAGGCAGGAGAAUGGCGUGAACCAGAAUGCGGAGCUUGCAGUGAGCCGAGAUCGCACCACUGCAAUCCAGCCUGGGCGACAGAGAGAGACUCUGUCUCAAAAAACAAAAAGAAAUCUGCUUUUUUUUUCACUCUGACUGGAGUAUAGUGGAGUGCAGUGGCACAAACAUGGCUCACUGCAAACCUCGAAUUCCUGGGCUCAAGUGAUCAUCUCAUCUCAGUCUCCCAAGUAGCUGGGACCACAUGUGUGCACCACCAUACCUGGCUAGUUUUUUACAUUUUUGUAGAGGGAGUCUUACUGUGUUGCCUAGGCUAAUCUCCUGGAUUCAACUCCUGUGCUCCAGCCACUCUCCUGCUUUGGCCUCCCAAAGUGCUGGAAAUACAGAUAUGAGCCAUCUCACCUGGCCAGAACAUUUUUUUCAUAGAACUCGUAUCAACAUUUUAUAGAUGAGUGCAGUGUCUCAUGUCUGUAAUCCCAGCACUUUGAAAGGCUGAGGCAGGAGGAUCACUUGAACCCAGGAGGUCAAGGCCAGCCUGGGCAACAUGGUGAAACCCUGUCUCUACAAAAAAUACAAAAAUCAGCUGGGCGUGGUGGCGUGCGCCUAUAUUGCCAGCUACUCAAGAGGCUGUGGUUGGAGGAUCACUUGAACCCAGGAAGUGGAAGUUGCAGUGAGCCAAGAUCAUGCCACUGCAUUUCAACCUGAGCAACAGAGCAAGACCCUGUCUCCAAAAAUAAAAAAAAUUAAAAAAAAUAAAAGCCAGGUGCAGUGGCUCACGCCUGUAAUCCCAGCACUUUGGGAGGCCGAGGCAGGCAGAUCACAAGGUCAGGAGUUCAAGACCAGCCUGGCCAAUAUGGUGAAACCCCGUCUCCACUAAAAAUACAAAAAAAUUAGCUGGGUAUGGUGGCAGGCGCCUGUAAUCCCAGCUACUUUGGGAGGCUGAGGCAGGAGAAUCACUUGAAUCUAGGAGGCAGAGGUUGCAGCGAGCUGAGAUCAUGCCAUUGCACUCCAGCCUGGGCUACAAGAGUGAAACUCUGUCUCAAAAAAAAAAAAA